This 383-nucleotide ribosomal RNA is filed under the name Boana sp. e AF-2020. RNAcentral describes it as "partial large subunit ribosomal RNA". It matches the Rfam family "Bacterial large subunit ribosomal RNA", at positions 1981 to 2517 of the family's 2925-position model. Lineage: Eukaryota; Metazoa; Chordata; Amphibia; Anura; Hylidae. The record is from RNAcentral.
UGGGGACUAGUAUGAAUGGCAUCACGAGGGUUAAACUGUCUCCUUUUUCUAAUCAGUGAAACUAAUCUCCCCGUGAAGAAGCGGGGAUUAUUCUAUAAGACGAGAAGACCCUAUGGAGCUUAAAACAAACUUACACUUGCUUUUAUAUAUUAAACUUCCUGAACAUUCACAUAAACUAUAGCACAACUGAUAAUUAGUUUUCGAUUGGGGUGAUCAUGAAAAAAACAACCUCCACGACGAUAAGGGAGCCCCCCUGAGCCAAGAGCCACAACUUUAAGCACUAAAAAAUUAACGCACCUUGACCCAAUUACUUGAUCAACGAACCAAGUUACCCUAGGGAUAACAGCGCAAUCCACUUCAAGAGCUCCUAUCGACAAGUGGGC